AUUGAACGCUCGCGGGAUGCUUUACACAUGCAAGUCGAACGGCAGCGCGGACUUCGGUCUGGCGGCGAGUGGCGAACGGGUGAGUAAUGUAUCGGAACGUGCCCAGUAGCGGGGGAUAACUACGCGAAAGCGUAGCUAAUACCGCAUACGCCCUACGGGGGAAAGCAGGGGAUCGUAAGACCUUGCACUAUUGGAGCGGCCGAUAUCGGAUUAGCUAGUUGGUGAGGUAACGGCUCACCAAGGCGACGAUCCGUAGCUGGUUUGAGAGGACGACCAGCCACACUGGGACUGAGACACGGCCCAGACUCCUACGGGAGGCAGCAGUGGGGAAUUUUGGACAAUGGGGGCAAACCUGAUCCAGCCAUCCCGCGUGUGCGAUGAAGGCCUUCGGGUUGUAAAGCACUUUUGGCAGGAAAGAAACGUCGCGGGCUAAUACCCCGUGGAACUGACGGUACCUGCAGAAUAAGCACCGGCUAACUACGUG
This 484-nucleotide ribosomal RNA is filed under the name uncultured bacterium. RNAcentral's name for it is "partial 16S ribosomal RNA". It matches the Rfam family "Bacterial small subunit ribosomal RNA", at positions 30 to 507 of the family's 1533-position model. The record is from RNAcentral.